Molecule: long non-coding RNA, 2346 nt
Organism: Halichondria panicea
Lineage: Eukaryota; Metazoa; Porifera; Demospongiae; Suberitida; Halichondriidae
Exons: 3
Source: RefSeq, a predicted model, not a curated record
UGUGUGUGCACUGCAAAAACACUUUUGUUAUUGUGACACAGUUUGCUACCAGCACAAAAUGUUAUCUUGACAAAACGUUUGUCAAUUUCCUGCAAUUAUUGUUAUAACGACAAAUCAUAGUUUAUUUAACUAUUAAUAUAGUUUAUCUAACUAUUAAUAUUUGUUAUUAUAAUGGUAGAUUGUUAUUUGAACACAUGUGUUGUCAUUUUAUCGAAGCAUUGUUGAUCUCACAUUUAGUGGAAGUUACCGUUCAUUGUCAAAUUAACAUUAAUGUGUGACAAUAACAAAUUAUAAAGUUACAGCUAGAACUCUACUAAAAGAUACGUGCAAGUUUGCAUCACUGAUUUCAACCUACUCAACCUAUACUCGAUUACCCUAGCUCGUAAUAAAUUGUCUACACUGAAACAUCUCAGUUGCCCUGAUGCUUAUAUCUUUGCAUGCUCAUGUUCAAUUGUGUAUGUAGCAAUUGGAGACUUGUGACUGGGCAUGGUAAGUUACGGUGGCAGUGAAGAAGUCAGGAGCCUCCAGAGUCUUUCAGUGCAGUGCAGUGCAGGCAGCCUUCUCUCUAUAGCCUCCUUCACUAGGCCUGGCCUGAAGAGCGGCCUGGGAUCGAGCUUCUCUCUAGCCUCUAACUCUAGCUAGUCUCGAGGCCAGGAGAGUUUGGCCUCGAGACUAUAAUUAUAAGCUGGAACUAUAGGUGUGGCAUGAGGGGGCGUUCAGGAAUAACAGGGCAAGGCCUCAAACAUACUUAGCACAUGGGUGCUUGCAGCUGCACCAGACUGCAGCUGCUCAUGCAGCUUUAUACUAUCAUAUCACUGACUGCAUGCCUGUACCCCUGGCCCUGGGCUACCAUGUUCCAUGUACACCAGCUAGGAUCUAGGAGUCAAGAGUCACCUGCAUCUGGAGCUUGAAAGAAAAGACAAUUGCAAAUUUUCUUAAGAGUAGAUAGUACCACCAUCUCAAAGAAAAAAGUUAAGUUCCAUUGCAUGCUGUUGGCGCAUGGCAUGUACAUGAUCCCAAAACUCUCUGAAUUCACAGUUUACAAAUCACUUAGUGCUAUACCGUAUCGGCGUAUAACUCCACCAUGUACCAGCUUCAAAGAAAAAGGAUUUAAGCUGCAGAUUUUACCGUACCUCGGCCCCACAAUGUGUACCAGCUAGGAUCUAGGAGUCUACUUAACCACCUUCAUCGACUUCAAAGAAACGACUUGCAAGUUAUGUCAGAUUCCAUAAAACUAUAUAGCUAGCUAGAGGGCAACUGUCCCUGGUUUCGACCUUCAUCUGUAGCAUACUGAUUUACGAGUUUGUGUCUUCAUGCACUGGUUUCGACUGGUCAACUUCGUCCAUGGGGUGAUAGCUAGCAUUGUAAUUUACCAGUUUGUGUGUAUGUGUCCUCAUGCGUCAGUUACACUGGUUUCGACUGGUCAACUUCGUCCAUGGGGUGAUAGCUAGCAUUGUAAUUUACCAGUUUGUGUGUAUGUGUCCUCAUGCGUCAGUUACACUGGUUUCAACUGGUCAACUUCGUCCAUGGGGUGAUAGCUAGCAUUGUAAUUUACCAGUUUGUGUGUAUGUGUCCUCAUGCGUCAGUUACACUGGUUUCGACUGGUCAACUUCGUCCAUGGGGUGAUAGCUAGCAUUGUAAUUUACCAGUUUGUGUGUAUGUGUCCUCACGUGUCAGUUACACUGGUUUCGACUGGUCAACUUUGUCCAUGGGGUGAUAGCUAGCAUACUGAUUUGCGAGUUUGUGUGUAUGUGUCCUCACGUGUCAGUUACACUGGUUUCGACUGGUCAACUUCGUCCAUGGGGUGAUAGCUAGCAUACUGAUUUAUGAGUUUGUGUGUAUGUGUCCUCAUGUGUCAGUUACACUGGUUUCGACUGGUCAACUUCGUCCAUGGGGUGAUAGCUAGCAUACUGAUUUACGAUUUUGUGUGUAUGUGUCCUCACGUGUCAGUUACACUGGUUUCGACUGGUCAACUUCGUCCAUGGGGUGAUAGCUAUAGCAUACUGAUUUACGAGUUUGUGUGUAUAUGUGUCCUCACGUGUCAGUUACACUGGUCAACUUCGUCCAUGGGGGUGAUAGCUUAUACUAUUUACAUUUUGCACUACAUAUGUGUUGGUAACUAUAGUGACUUCAAUCUUUUGUUCUGUAGGGGCUUAUUGUGACGAAAAGGAUCUGAGGGAUGUAGCGUUCAUGAAACCAAACAAAACGCCUGCAGUUCACUGUACUGGAAUUUCAAGAAACGCUAAGUAAUGAACACUAAAAACAAUUUACUGACAGAAGAAAUGUAUUGUGCUGCAUGUCAUGUGAUCCAGUGAUCUUAUUCUAUCAUAAACUCAUUGUUCUAAU